This 497-nucleotide ribosomal RNA is filed under the name uncultured bacterium. Its description in RNAcentral is "partial 16S ribosomal RNA". It matches the Rfam family "Bacterial small subunit ribosomal RNA", at positions 28 to 507 of the family's 1533-position model. The record is from RNAcentral.
GAUGAACGCUGGCGGCGUGCCUAAUACAUGCAAGUCGAGCGAACAGACGAGGAGCUUGCUCCUUUGACGUUAGCGGCGGACGGGUGAGUAACACGUGGGUAACCUGCCUAUAAGACUGGGAUAACUUCGGGAAACCGGAGCUAAUACCGGAUAAUAUUUCGAACCGCAUGGUUCGAUAGUGAAAGAUGGCUUUGCUAUCACUUAUAGAUGGACCUGCGCCGUAUUAGCUAGUUGGUAAGGUAACGGCUUACCAAGGCAACGAUACGUAGCCGACCUGAGAGGGUGAUCGGCCACACUGGAACUGAGACACGGUCCAGACUCCUACGGGAGGCAGCAGUAGGGAAUCUUCCGCAAUGGGCGAAAGCCUGACGGAGCAACGCCGCGUGAGUGAUGAAGGUCUUCGGAUCGUAAAACUCUGUUAUUAGGGAAGAAUAAACGUGUAAGUAACUGUGCACGUCUUGACGGUACCUAAUCAGAAAGCCACGGCUAACUACGUG